RNAcentral lists this ribosomal RNA (710 nucleotides) under Bacillus sp. (in: firmicutes). Its description in RNAcentral is "bacterial SSU rRNA". It matches the Rfam family "Bacterial small subunit ribosomal RNA", at positions 69 to 763 of the family's 1533-position model. Lineage: Bacteria; Bacillati; Bacillota; Bacilli; Caryophanales; Bacillaceae. The record is from RNAcentral.
UGAUUAGAAGCUUGCUUCUAUGACGUUAGCGGCGGACGGGUGAGUAACACGUGGGCAACCUGCCUGUAAGACUGGGAUAACUCCGGGAAACCGGAGCUAAUACCGGAUAACAUUUUCUCUUGCAUAAGAGAAAAUUGAAAGAUGGUUUCGGCUAUCACUUACAGAUGGGCCCGCGGUGCAUUAGCUAGUUGGUGAGGUAACGGCUCACCAAGGCAACGAUGCAUAGCCGACCUGAGAGGGUGAUCGGCCACACUGGGACUGAGACACGGCCCAGACUCCUACGGGAGGCAGCAGUAGGGAAUCUUCCGCAAUGGACGAAAGUCUGACGGAGCAACGCCGCGUGAGUGAUGAAGGCUUUCGGGUCGUAAAACUCUGUUGUUAGGGAAGAACAAGUACAAGAGUAACUGCUUGUACCUUGACGGUACCUAACCAGAAAGCCACGGCUAACUACGUGCCAGCAGCCGCGGUAAUACGUAGGUGGCAAGCGUUAUCCGGAAUUAUUGGGCGUAAAGCGCGCGCAGGCGGUUUCUUAAGUCUGAUGUGAAAGCCCACGGCUCAACCGUGGAGGGUCAUUGGAAACUGGGGAACUUGAGUGCAGAAGAGAAAAGCGGAAUUCCACGUGUAGCGGUGAAAUGCGUAGAGAUGUGGAGGAACACCAGUGGCGAAGGCGGCUUUUUGGUCUGUAACUGACGCUGAGGCGCGAAAGCGUG